RNAcentral lists this ribosomal RNA (515 nucleotides) under uncultured bacterium. Its description in RNAcentral is "partial 16S ribosomal RNA". It matches the Rfam family "Bacterial small subunit ribosomal RNA", at positions 28 to 523 of the family's 1533-position model. The record is from RNAcentral.
GAUGAACGCUGGCGGCGUGCCUAAUACAUGCAAGUCGAGCGAAUGGAUUAAGAGCUUGCUCUUAUGAAGUUAGCGGCGGACGGGUGAGUAACACGUGGGUAACCUGCCCAUAAGACUGGGAUAACUCCGGGAAACCGGGGCUAAUACCGGAUAACAUUUUGAACCGCAUGGUUCGAAAUUGAAAGGCGGCUUCGGCUGUCACUUAUGGAUGGACCCGCGUCGCAUUAGCUAGUUGGUGAGGUAACGGCUCACCAAGGCAACGAUGCGUAGCCGACCUGGGAGGGUGCUCUGCCACGCGUGGACGAAGACACGGCCCAGACUCCUACGGGAGGCAGCAGUAGGGAAUCUUCCGCAAUGGACGAAAGUCUGACGGAGCAACGCCGCGUGAGUGAUGAAGGCUUUCGGGUCGUAAAACUCUGUUGUUAGGGAAGAACAAGUGCUAGUUGAAUAAGCUGGCACCUUGACGGUACCUAACCAGAAAGCCACGGCUAACUACGUGCCAGCCGCCGCAGUAA